Molecule: ribosomal RNA, 712 nt
Filed under: uncultured bacterium
Lineage: Bacteria
Description: bacterial SSU rRNA
Rfam family: Bacterial small subunit ribosomal RNA
Source: RNAcentral
CAAUCCGGCUAUUAAGAAACCGUGGUAGUCCACACAGUAAACGAUGAAUACUCGCUGUGGCGAUCAAGGUCAGCGGCCAAGGGAAAGCAUUAAGUAUCCCNCUGGGGAGUACGCCGGCAACGGUGAACUUCAAAGGAAUUGACGGGGGCCCGCACAAGCGGAGGAACAUGUGGUUUAAUUCGAUGAUACGCGAGGAACCUUACCCGGGCUUAAAUUGCAACUGACGGACUUGGAAACAGGUCUUUCUUCGGACAGUUGUGAAGGUGCUGCAUGGUUGUCGUCAGCUCGUGCCGUGAGGUGUCGGCUUAAGUGCCAUAACGAGCGCAACCUUUACCGACAGUUACCAUCAGGUAACGCUGGGGACUCUGUCGGGACUGCCGUCGUAAGAUGUGAGGAAGGUGGGGAUGACGUCAAAUCAGCACGGCCCUUACGUCCGGGGCUACACACGUGUUACAAUGGGGGGUACAGAAGGCAGCUACACGGCGACGUGAUGCUAAUCCCAAAAGCCUCUCUCAGUUCGGAUUGGAGUCUGCAACCCGACUCCAUGAAGCUGGAUUCGCUAGUAAUCGCGCAUCAGCCACGGCGCGGUGAAUACGUUCCCGGGCCUUGUACACACCGCCCGUCAAGCCAUGAAAGCCGGGGGUACCUGAAGUGCGUAACCGCAAGGAGCGCCCUAGGGUAAAACUGGUGAUUGGGGCUAAGUCGAACAAGG